CCUACGGGAGGCAGCAGUAGGGAAUCUUUCACAAUGUGCGAAAGCCUGAUGGAGCAACGCCGCGUGCAGGCUGAAGGCCUUCGGGUUGUAAACUGCUUUUAUAAGCGAGAAAUAUGAUGGUAACUUAUGAAUAAGGAUCGGCUAACUACGUGCCAGCAGCCGCGGUCAUACGUAGGAUCCGAGCAUUAUCCGGAGUGACUGGGUGUAAAGAGUUGCGUAGGUGGCAUAAUAAGUAGCUAGUGAAAUCUGGUGGCUCAACCAUUCAGACUAUUAGCUAAAAUGUUAAGCUCGAGACCGUUAGGGGUAACUGGAAUUUCUAGUGUAGGAGUGAAAUCCGUAGAUAUUAGAAGGAACACCAAUAGCGUAGGCAGGUUGCUGGGACGGUUCUGACACUAAGGCACGAAAGCGUAGGGAGCAAACGGGAUUAGAUACCCCUGUAGUC
Molecule: ribosomal RNA, 442 nt
Filed under: uncultured bacterium
Lineage: Bacteria
Description: partial 16S ribosomal RNA
Rfam family: Bacterial small subunit ribosomal RNA
Source: RNAcentral